UACGGGAGGCAGCAGUGGGGAAUAUUGCACAAUGGGCGCAAGCCUGAUGCAGCCAUGCCGCGUGUAUGAAAAAGGCCUUCGGGUUGUAAAGUACUUUCAGUCGUGAGGAAGGUGUUAAGGUUAAUAACCUUAGCAAUUGACGUUAGCGACAGAAGAAGCACCGGCUAACUCCGUGCCAGCAGCCGCGGUAAUACGGAGGGUGCGAGCGUUAAUCGGAAUUACUGGGCGUAAAGGGCACGCAGGCGGUUAAUUAAGUUGGAUGUGAAAUCCCCGGGCUUAACCUGGGAAUGGCAUUCAAGACUGGUUAGCUAGAGUCUUGUAGAGGGGGUAGAAUUCCAUGUGUAGCGGUGAAAUGCGUAGAGAUGUGGAGGAAUACCGGUGGCGAAGGCGGCCCCUGGGACAAAGACUGACGCUCAUGUGCGAAAGCGUGGGGAGCAAAC
Molecule: ribosomal RNA, 440 nt
Filed under: uncultured bacterium
Lineage: Bacteria
Description: bacterial SSU rRNA
Rfam family: Bacterial small subunit ribosomal RNA
Source: RNAcentral